AAUUCAAAGCCCUGAUGUGUUCAAGGAUCAAGUUAACUAAGUAUUUGUAACCCCCAAUAUUGGUGACCAUGGCUGCUCUAGCGUUUUUGGAUUGAUGGGAGAAAUAUUGAUGAUGGGGUUUAUUAUGGUGCAACGCGAGCAUGCGCUCUCGGCCUUUUCAUUUUCAUCCUCGGGCAAGUGCAGACGAAUUCCAGGCGAUCAAGAAAAAAUCCAAUUAAAUCGGCUAAGAUGAGUACGGGAAUGUUAAGAGCGGGAUCUACUAGGCGCUCUAAAACCAGAUCGCCUUAUGCCAGACCACCGGCUCGGGCAGAAGUCCCUGUAGCUCUCCCAUCACAACCUCGCAAUUCCUCGCUGACGAGUGCACUCCCUACACAGCAGCAUCAAUCCAGCCAAUCCACUUUAAGUGCUGACAUACAUCAAGAUGCACCCGGGGUCAUUCCAUUACACACCACGCAGCCCACCAUCACCCCAGAUGUUUAUCUUCAAGGAAACGCUAGGCCUGCAGUGGCUAUACCUACUGAAAAUGUACCACACCAAACAGUACGCAUGUAAACCCUCUUGUUAGUAUCACGGCAGAUCUUGGGGCUAACAUUCCAUUGUCAUUACAGGAAAAAAUAUGGAAUAAUGAAUAUAUAGAUCUUGCCAAGCUAUUGCAUUUAUAUCCUGCAGCUGAAACCCAACAACUCCUUGUGUUUGAAGGUGGUCAAAUCAAAAUUAAAAACAAAUCUAAAGAUAAAAAAA
This is a long non-coding RNA of Ostrea edulis (European flat oyster), 741 nucleotides long. RefSeq lists it as uncharacterized. The record is from RefSeq and is a predicted model, not a curated record. The transcript is spliced from 2 exons. NCBI's taxonomy places the organism in Eukaryota, Metazoa, Mollusca, Bivalvia, Ostreida, Ostreidae.